This 493-nucleotide ribosomal RNA is filed under the name uncultured bacterium. RNAcentral's name for it is "partial 16S ribosomal RNA". It matches the Rfam family "Bacterial small subunit ribosomal RNA", at positions 29 to 507 of the family's 1533-position model. The record is from RNAcentral.
ACGAACGCUGGCGGCGUGCUUAACACAUGCAAGUCGAACGGUGAAGCGCCUUCCUUUUUGGUGGGUGUGGAUGAGUGGCGAACGGGUGAGUAACACGUGAGUAACCUGCCCCCUUCUUCUGGAUAACCGCAUGAAAGUGUGGCUAAUACGGGAUAUUCUGGGUCUGUCGCAUGAUGGGUCUGGGAAAGAUAUUGUUUCGGUGGGGGAUGGGCUCGCGGCCUAUCAGCUUGUUGGUGGGGUGAUGGCCUACCAAGGCGGUGACGGGUAGCCGGCCUGAGAGGGUGGACGGUCACACUGGGACUGAGACACGGCCCAGACUCCUACGAGGGGGAGCAGUGGGGAAUAUUGCACAAUGGGCGCAAGCCUGAUGGAGCGACGCCGCGUGAGGGAUGGAGGCCUUCGGGUUGUGAACCUCUUUCGCCAGUGAAGCAGGCCUGCCUCGUUUGUGGGUGGGUUGACGGUAGCUGGAUAAGAAGCGCCGGCUAACUACGUG